UGAGUGUUUACGCCGCCCUGCAGAGGCAGC
RNAcentral lists this non-coding RNA (30 nucleotides) under Homo sapiens (human). Lineage: Eukaryota; Metazoa; Chordata; Mammalia; Primates; Hominidae. The record is from RNAcentral.